This 250-nucleotide ribosomal RNA is filed under the name uncultured bacterium. RNAcentral's name for it is "partial 16S ribosomal RNA". It matches the Rfam family "Bacterial small subunit ribosomal RNA", at positions 74 to 339 of the family's 1533-position model. The record is from RNAcentral.
UGGAGCUUGCUCCAGUUAGCCUAGUGGCGCACGGGUGAGUAACGCGUGGGAACCUGCCUAGAAGUGAGGAAUAACAGUUGGAAACGACUGCUAAUACCGGAUGAUGACGUAAGUCCAAAGAUUUAUCGCCCAAGGAUGAGCCCGCGUAGGAUUAGCUAGUUGGUGGGGUAAAGGCCUACCAAGGCGACGAUCCUUAGCUGGUCUGAGAGGAUGAUCAGCCACACUGGGACUGAGACACGGCCCAGACUCC